Molecule: ribosomal RNA, 541 nt
Filed under: Bifidobacterium bifidum
Lineage: Bacteria; Bacillati; Actinomycetota; Actinomycetes; Bifidobacteriales; Bifidobacteriaceae
Description: bacterial SSU rRNA
Rfam family: Bacterial small subunit ribosomal RNA
Source: RNAcentral
GGGUGGUAAUGCCGGAUGUUCCACAUGAUCGCAUGUGAUUGUGGGAAAGAUUCUAUCGGCGUGGGAUGGGGUCGCGUCCUAUCAGCUUGUUGGUGAGGUAACGGCUCACCAAGGCUUCGACGGGUAGCCGGCCUGAGAGGGCGACCGGCCACAUUGGGACUGAGAUACGGCCCAGACUCCUACGGGAGGCAGCAGUGGGGAAUAUUGCACAAUGGGCGCAAGCCUGAUGCAGCGACGCCGCGUGAGGGAUGGAGGCCUUCGGGUUGUAAACCUCUUUUGUUUGGGAGCAAGCCUUCGGGUGAGUGUACCUUUCGAAUAAGCGCCGGCUAACUACGUGCCAGCAGCCGCGGUAAUACGUAGGGCGCAAGCGUUAUCCGGAUUUAUUGGGCGUAAAGGGCUCGUAGGCGGCUCGUCGCGUCCGGUGUGAAAGUCCAUCGCUUAACGGUGGAUCUGCGCCGGGUACGGGCGGGCUGGAGUGCGGUAGGGGAGACUGGAAUUCCCGGUGUAACGGUGGAAUGUGUAGAUAUCGGGAAGAACACCA